GGCUCAGGAUGAACGCUAGCGGCAGGCUUAAUACAUGCAAGGUCGUGGGGCAGCAUGAGUAGCAAUACUUGAUGGCGACCGGCAAACGGGUGAGGAACACGUACACAACCUUCCUUACAAGCGGGGAAUAGCCCAGAGAAAUUUGGAUUAAUACCCCAUAAUAUAUUUGAUAAGGCAUCUUAUUAAUAUUAAAGCUUCGGCACUUGAUGAUGGGUGUGCGGCUGAUUAGAUAGUUGGCGGGGUAACGGCCCACCAAGUCUACGAUCAGUAGCUGAUGUGAGAGCAUGAUCAGCCACACGGGCACUGAGACACGGGCCCGACUCCUACGGGAGGCAGCAGUAAGGAAUAUUGGACAAUGGACGAAAGUCUGAUCCAGCCAUGCCGCGUGAAGGAUUAAGGUCCUCUGGAUUGUAAACUUCUUUUAUAUGGGACGAAAAAAGGGCAUUCUUGUUCACUUGACGGUACCAUAUGAAUAAGCACCGGCUAACUCCGUG
Molecule: ribosomal RNA, 494 nt
Filed under: uncultured bacterium
Lineage: Bacteria
Description: bacterial SSU rRNA
Rfam family: Bacterial small subunit ribosomal RNA
Source: RNAcentral